This 118-nucleotide unclassified non-coding RNA is filed under the name Chryseobacterium taeanense. RNAcentral describes it as "Flavo-1 RNA". Lineage: Bacteria; Pseudomonadati; Bacteroidota; Flavobacteriia; Flavobacteriales; Weeksellaceae. The record is from RNAcentral.
CCCUAGCCUCGAUUGCAGCAAUUGUUUGAGCUCAUUUUAAUUAUUUUAGGGUUUCGGCGGCUUCGCCGCCGAAACCCUAAAAUAAUUAAAAUAGCGAGUGCGGAAAGCGAGAAAAAGC